GUGGAGCUUGGAUUCGAUGAAAACGGAGUUGGAGAGAGAAAUGGAGUAGCGGUAGAAGGGCAGCAAGGGUGAGCCGUCGGAGGUGGUUAGGGUGGUGAGGAAGAGGAGGAAGAGAGAGACGAUGGAGCCAAUUGCGAGAGGUAAGAUCCAUUUGAGCUCCAUUGUCUUCUGCUGUUGGUGCCUCAGAUGCAUGUAGUAGCUUUUCAGCUUCUUCAUAUUCAAUUAUUGCUCGGAGCUCCGAAUCGGAAAACUGGGUC
RNAcentral lists this long non-coding RNA (257 nucleotides) under Fragaria vesca (wild strawberry). Its description in RNAcentral is "long non-coding RNA (FVES_LNC002794)". The record is from RNAcentral. Lineage: Eukaryota; Viridiplantae; Streptophyta; Magnoliopsida; Rosales; Rosaceae.